Molecule: transfer RNA, 75 nt
Filed under: Sulfurospirillum sp.
Lineage: Bacteria; Pseudomonadati; Campylobacterota; Epsilonproteobacteria; Campylobacterales; Sulfurospirillaceae
Description: tRNA-Glu
Rfam family: tRNA
About the family: Transfer RNA (tRNA) molecules are approximately 80 nucleotides in length. Their secondary structure includes four short double-helical elements and three loops (D, anti-codon, and T loops). Further hydrogen bonds mediate the characteristic L-shaped molecular structure. tRNAs have two regions of fundamental functional importance: the anti-codon, which is responsible for specific mRNA codon recognition, and the 3' end, to which the tRNAs corresponding amino acid is attached (by aminoacyl-tRNA synthetases). tRNAs cope with the degeneracy of the genetic code in two manners: having more than one tRNA (with a specific anti-codon) for a particular amino acid; and 'wobble' base-pairing, i.e. permitting non-standard base-pairing at the 3rd anti-codon position.
Source: RNAcentral
GGCCCGUUCGUCUAGCGGUUAGGACUCCGGCCUCUCACGCCGGCAACAGGGGUUCGAGUCCCCUACGGGUCACCA